AGUCAGUCAAUUUUAGACUAUAAGCGCACGCUUAAUUUUUUUUACGAAAAAUUGUUUAUUGGGAAUAAAUCACUAAACAUGUUUGCAUUAAAAGUCAUAAUGAUCCUGGCUUGCAUAGCUAUUUCAUUCGGCGCAGAUCCGAUUCGUCCGCAGGGUACCUAUCAUUGUGGUACCAAUCUUUAUCCGCAUUCAUGUUGGGCCUAUUGCACUGAGAAAAGAACCACGUGGUGUUGGACUGAUGAAGGUGCAUACUGUAGACCUCAAAGAGGUCAUUCACGUGGUGAUACAUGUACUGGAGAAGUUUGUUACAGUGCAUGUGGUUAAUAAAAAAUCCAAUUGCAGAAACAUAUGACUGUAAAAAAUUCAUUUUAACUCUUUGCAAUAAACCUUACCGCUUAAGUGUCA
This is a long non-coding RNA of Bradysia coprophila, 405 nucleotides long. NCBI's taxonomy places the organism in Eukaryota, Metazoa, Arthropoda, Insecta, Diptera, Sciaridae. The record is from RefSeq and is a predicted model, not a curated record.